UAUUGUAUUAUUUUAUAAAGAGGCGUAAAAAGGCAUUAAUAACAACAACAAAAGUGACAUAAAAAAUCUAAUCACACCAUCCGAAAUAUAAACAACAAAGAUGUCAGCUCUCUCUACUCGUCUUCGAGCAACGCAAGGGAAAUGGCGUUUUUUACCGAUUUCUACGAAUUAUCGCCGGUAUUCAGUAGACCAAAGUAAAGGAAAACCAGUGAGAAUCGGGUGCGCCAGCGGAUUCUGGGGUGACACUCCUACGGCAGCUCCUCAACUGAUUCACAAUGGCAAUUUGGACUUCCUCAUGUUCGACUACCUCUCAGAAAUCACCAUGUCCCUCCUUACGGCUGCAAGAGCCAAGAAGCCAGAGCUGGGGUUUGCACCUGACUUUGUGCUCUAUGCCAUUGGACCAUACUUGAAUGACAUCAAACGGAAAGGUAUCAGAGUCCUGAGCAAUGCUGGUGGAAUUAACCCAGAGGGCUGUGCUGAGGCACUGAGGCAGGCUGCUAGCAAGGCUGGUGUUGAUCUGAAGGUUGCUGUUGUUACGGGUGAUGAUCUAAUGCCAGUAAAGAAACAAUUGAUAGCUGCCGGAAUGCCCGAUAUGAAAAGCGGUCUUCCUCUACCAAAAACUGUUCACAGCAUGAAUGCAUAUUUAGGAGCUGGUCCAAUAGCUAAAGCCUUAGAUGGAGGUGCAGAUAUUGUUGUUACAGGCAGGUGCGCUGACAGCUCUUUGGCUCUUGCACCUCUCAUGCAUAGUUUUGGGUGGCAGUCAAAUGAUUAUGACCAGCUUGCAAGUGGCAGCCUGGCAGGUCACUUGAUUGAGUGUGGUGCACAGGCAACUGGUGGUGUUUAUACUGACUGGGAGGCUGUUCCUGACUGGCAUAAUAUAGGCUUUCCAAUAGCAGAAGUGUCAGGCAAUGGAGAUUUCAUGAUCACAAAGCCCCCUCACACGGGAGGUAUUGUCAAUCAGAUGACUGUUGCUGAGCAGAUGCUCUACGAGAUUGGGGACCCACGGGCCUAUAUUCUUCCGGAUGUUGUCUGUGACUUUACUGGGGUCCAGCUAGAGGAGACCAACUGUGGGGUCAUUGUGAAAGGGGCUAAGGGGAAGAAGCCCACUGACUCGUAUAAGGUUAGUGCAACAUAUCUUGAUGGCUACAAGGCUACUGCUGUCAGCUGUAUUGGAGGACCUAGAAGCCGUGACAAGGGCAGGAAAACCGCUGAGGCGAUUGUGCAGAGGUGCCGCAACAUAUUCCAAAUGCUCAAGCUCCCUGACUUCACCCGAGUCCACAUCCAGAUAUUGGGUGCAGAGGAUACCUAUGGGCCCCAUGCAAGUGUUGGAGAAGGUCCUCGUGAGGGUGUCAUCUGGAUCUCUGUCCAUCACGAACAAAAGAAGGCUGUCGAGCUGUUUGCCCGUGAAAUAGCAGCAGCUGGAACUGGUAUGGCCCCUGGACUCACAAAUAUUGUUGGAGGUCGGCCUAGGGCGUCUCCUCUCCUGCGUCUGCAUUCCUUCCUCAUACCAAAAGAUCAGUGCAAGGUGAGUAUCCAUGCUGAUGGGAAAGAGGAAAUGUACAGUGAGACUGCAGAUACAGUUCCCGCUUCCGCCUAUGACUUUCCGGAUCAGCCAGUAUCUGAAGCCUCAGAUUUGACUAAGGGAUCAAAAUGCUAUCGACUGGAGUCCCUGGCUCUGACUCGCAGCGGUGACAAGGCAGACUCCUGCAAUAUUGGUGUCAUUGCAAGGCAUCCUUCUCUAUAUCCAUACCUGAAGGAGGCUCUUACAUCGGAAGCUGUUGCAGAAUACUUUAGACAUGUUUUCCCAGACAAUGUCAACCCCUUGGACUGUGUAAAAAGGUAUGAGGUGGACGGCAUAUGUGGCCUCAAUUUUGUCCUCGAGCAGUCACUUGGUGGAGGAGGAGUGGCGUCACUACGCUCUGAUCCUCAGGGAAAAGCUUAUGGCCAGAUGCUCCUUGACUUCAUCAUAAAGGAUAUGCCAGAUAUCUGCUCUAUCAGCCACUAGUAUGAGAGUCAAACUGUUGUGAAACAAGGAGAGAAAUGUUAAAUUUAGAUUAACAGAGAUUGUUUUCCUUGCUAGCAGGGAGCUCUCUCUUUCUCUUAGCUUUCUUUGUUAAUGCAGAAUUUUUCCUCUCUUGUCAGGAUAUUUGUACACCUUGAACUGACUGCCAUAUCCAUCUUAUACUGUAAUUGAGAUGUGGAAGUAAAUAUUUUUGAUAUAGAGAAAAAAAAGGAUAGGUAUAAUUAUUAAAAAAAAAAAAAAUGGAUGUAAAAUAAGAAUAAUUGUCGAUUGUAGUGGAGUCAUGAUUGUCCAUAUGUUAGGUAUUGUGUAUUGAAAUUGUAUAUUAUUUAAAAGUACAAGGUCUUCAGUAAUGACUUUUAUAACCUUUUUUUGAUAGCUACUAAAAUCUGGACUCUUCCAAGUCAGCAGAAUAUAAUGUAAACAAAAGGAAAAGAUGACUGAAGAUGCAGUUCAUUAAAGACCAAGAAAUAGUAAAGAAGAAAACAGUAUAUGUAAAAUAUUUUGAGUUCUUUACCUAUAAUAUUUCUUUUAAAAGUGAAAAUGCACACAAUGAUAUGUAACAAGUAUGUAGUGGACCAGAGUUGGAUUAUACUUGUGACUUCAGUGUGAUGCAUGCACAAAUCUUGUCUUUCAUAUAAUACAGCAGAGUCAGACAAAACCAUUAUAUUUAUGUAAAGUUUGGUAAAUAAAUGUAUAUUUUGUA
Molecule: unclassified non-coding RNA, 2726 nt
Filed under: Penaeus monodon (black tiger shrimp)
Lineage: Eukaryota; Metazoa; Arthropoda; Malacostraca; Decapoda; Penaeidae
Description: uncharacterized LOC119594381, transcript variant X2
Source: RNAcentral